Molecule: long non-coding RNA, 288 nt
Filed under: Malus domestica (apple)
Lineage: Eukaryota; Viridiplantae; Streptophyta; Magnoliopsida; Rosales; Rosaceae
Description: long non-coding RNA (MDOM_LNC008376)
Source: RNAcentral
CACAACACUCACGUCCAAGGGUAAAAUAGUCAACUCACGUCAUCGCUAAUUUAUUUCGGGACGGGCUGUGAUAGACAGAGGGACUGAUAGAUUGGAGAGAGAUGGGAGCUAUGGGUUUUGACUGAGUGAGAGAGAGAUUUAGCUAGGUCAUUUGCCAGGAUCUAUGGGAUUUUCUUCGAUUUUACAGAGAGAUGGACAAGGAGAGAGAUACAUAGCGGAAAGCAUGGUUGUGUGCAUUCUUUGGGGUUAACAUGUUAUGCACAUAGUCGGUGAGGAGGGGAUGGCUAA